Molecule: transfer RNA, 66 nt
Filed under: Takydromus amurensis (Amur grass lizard)
Lineage: Eukaryota; Metazoa; Chordata; Lepidosauria; Squamata; Lacertidae
Description: tRNA-Cys
Source: RNAcentral
AUAAGUCUUGUGGUGUUAACGCCAAAAUGCAAAUUUGGAGAAGCACCACAAAGGUGCCGGGACUUC